GUGGGUGUAGCUCAGUUGGUAGAGCCCCGGAUUGUGAUUCCGGAUGUCGCGGGUUCGAGUCCCGUCACUCACCCCA
Molecule: transfer RNA, 76 nt
Filed under: Gammaproteobacteria bacterium
Lineage: Bacteria; Pseudomonadati; Pseudomonadota; Gammaproteobacteria
Also listed under: 1 other name
Description: tRNA-His
Rfam family: tRNA
About the family: Transfer RNA (tRNA) molecules are approximately 80 nucleotides in length.
Source: RNAcentral